This is a long non-coding RNA of Homo sapiens (human), 4375 nucleotides long. RefSeq lists it as uncharacterized. NCBI's taxonomy places the organism in Eukaryota, Metazoa, Chordata, Mammalia, Primates, Hominidae. The transcript has 5 exons. The record is from RefSeq and is a predicted model, not a curated record.
AGAUUGUGCCACUUCACUCCAGCCUGGGUGACAGGGUGAGACUCUUCCUCAAAAAAAAUAGUUGAAUAGAUGAUUUAUGAUAUAGUCAUAUAAUAAAUAAAUACUAUACAACAAUGAGAAUAAUUGACCUACAGCUAAACACAAAAAUAUUGACCAAUCUUGCAUUUACUCAAUCUUAUAUUUACGCAAUCUACUAUUGAGUAAAGGGCACUGGAUACUAAAAAAUACAUAUUUUAUGAUUUCAUUUAUAUAAAGUACCAAAACAGGAUAGUAAUCUUCAUGAGCUUAGGAGGUGGUGGUAGUCUCUGCUUGGGAGCAUGACAAGGGCUUCAUGGCAACUGUUAUAUUCUGAAUUUUCUUUCAGUGCUGGCAUUCUGGAUAUGUUUCAUUUGUGCAAAUACAUAGAGCUAUAUAUUUAUGAUGCCCACUUUUCUACAUGUGUAUUUAUGCUCCAAAGUAGUUUACUUAAGUCAUCUAACAAUAUCUAGAAAUAAGUCUAACAAAAUAUGCAAGGACUAUACACCAUGAACUAUGCAGUAUUUCUGAGAGAAUUAAAAGGGCUAAUAAAUGGUAGGACAUGUCAUGAUUAGGGAUUGGAAGACUGAUUAUUUUAUGAAUCUCAUUUCUCCACAAAUUUAUCUAUAGAUUGAAUGUAAUUGCAAGACUCAUACAUAGAACGAGUUGAUUUAUAGAAACUAUAGUGAAAGGAUAAUCUUUUCAAUAAACGGUGUUAGUAUCAUGGGAUUCUUGGGUUAUCACUUCACCAGCUGGAAACCUCUGUGGCCAGUGGAUCCUUUGCCUGAGUUUUUCUUGGGCUCACUGGGCUUGUUUCACCCCUUCAGUCUGGCAGGCUGCGCUUGGCUUACGCUACCCUCCUGGAUCCCGUGCCUGCCAAGAGUGAGCUGAGUGGGGAGGGGUGUGUGAAUGAGUGAGCAUGGGGCCCAGCCACUGCUCAUAGCCAGGCAUGCUGGCUGUGGCAGGGUGGGCAGCUCCAGGCACUGGCAUGGGCGCUGGCUCCCUGCGAGGCUGAAACUGGACCAGGCGAACCAUAAGCAGCUUCCAUGGCUGGCACCAGGGAAUGCGGUGGUGCCCAGAAGCUUGGAAUCACCAGAAAGUGUGAAGCCCCAAAGAGGUUAUCACAGCCCUGGUUUGGGGAACUUCUAGGUCUGGGAUCCCCAAAGGGCCACAGCUCUUCUCUCCUUCUCUCUUCUCUCCUUCUCUCUUCUCUCCUUCUCUCUUCUCUCCUUCUCUCUUCUCUCCUUCUCUCCUUCUCUCUUCUCUCCUUCUUGUUGCCCACAACAUGGUGAGCAAGGGGGGUGUUUCAGCCUUGUUUGUGUUACAGCUCUUUCAGCUCUGCCAUUUGGCAAGUCCCUAGUUUUUGUCCUGUGUCCAGGAAGAAUGAGGUACCUAGACAAGUGGAGGGUGAGCAAGAUAAAGACGAGCUUUUUUGAGCAGUAGAACAGCUCAGAGGAAACCCACAGUGGGUAGCUUCUCUCCUCAACUGGGAUGUCCUGAUGAGUGUUCAGCUCUCAGCAGAGAGGAGACCCUGGAGUAGGUAGCUCCUAUCUGCAGCUGGUAGUCCCAAUGUCUGCUCAGCUCUCAGCAGAGAGGAGAACCCAGAGGGGGUAGCUCCUCUCCACAGGCAGGUCAUUCUGUCAUCUCCUCAAGUCUGGCUGAGCCCAGGGUUUUUAUGGGCUUCAGCGGGGAGGAAGUGUGUGCUGAUUGGUCCAUGGGUGGCCAUGGGUGGGCCUGGAAAAGGCAACAUAAGUUCCCACUCUAGUCUGCAGGACUGGCAGCCCAGCUCCCAGGCUUCAGGCCUUCCCUGGCUUGAAGGUGGGGCUUCACCAAGGGCCUACCUGUUUCCACCCUGGAGCCUGUCUGCCUCCUGCUGCUGCUUAUGUAACCCAGGCUUUUACUGCUGAGGGGUGCCUAUAAGCCAGCAUUGAGCUGCCCUCAGCCCGGCCUCAGCCUCCCUCUGGUGCUCGGUGGUGCACAAAGUCUAGACGGGGACAAGGCAGCAGGGGCUAGUGUGUCAGGGCUGCCCUAAGUGUGUGCACACCUGGCCAGGUUGCAAUAGUACCUAGUCUUGGCCUCAAUUUUGCUCCAGAUCAGAGCAGGCACAGGAACAGAGAGAGGCCAGGAAACAGGAGCAGGCAUUUCCAAGCCUGCUGGGACAAGAGGGACUUCCUGGGCCCCUGGGAGUGCAGAGAUGCCUGGGUGUGCAGCUGCAGCUUGGGUGGCUGCAGCUGCGGCUUGGGUGGCUGCAGCUGCAGCUUGGGUGGCUGCAGCUAUGCCUGGAGCUCAUGCCUGCUCCCACUCCUCAAGAGCACAGGGAUGUCCAGGCUUGGAGCCAUGGCUGGGCAGCUGCAGCUGCGCCCAGGGAGCAUGAGGCUCCUGCCCUGCCAACUCAGGAGCGGGCUGGCCUUCCACCUGUUUCUGGCUCCCUCCGGCUCCAUGGAGCAUGCAACCCUGGCCACACCUCCCCAGUGAAGCCAGUGUCAUGGCAGCAGCCACUCUAGAUGGGCCAUGGCUGCCAUCAUUAGGGCUUUACUAUACACAUGUUAAAAAGUAAUUAAACGUGGUUUCUACCCUCCUGACAUUAAAAACUGAUCAAUUCCAGAUGGAUUAUAGAUAUAGUUGUGGAAGACAAAACAAUCAAACUUUUAGAAAAAAGUCAAAGACAUUAUUUUCAGGUUUUCCAAGUUGGGAAAUGUGAUACAAAACUAUUCAGUUUAAAUAAAAAAUCAAUACCUUUAACUAUUAAAAUUGAGGACUGCUAUUUAUCCAAAGAUACAAUGAAGAGACUGAAAGGCAAAGAUUAAAAAAAGACUAAAGAUUUAAAAAAUUAAAUAUGUAUACACACAUGAAUGGAAUAUGUGAAAAAGUCUCCAAGUAAAGAAAAAAGGACAAUUCACUAGAAAUAGAAGAAAAGUCUUAAACAGUCUCAUCCCAAAGAAGAUAUCCUAAUGAACAGUGGACAUGAACAGGGGCUCAACUUCGUUAAUUAUCUCUCAUUCUCAAGGAAAAGCAAAUUAGACUGUGAAUAAAAUCUCCAUGUACCCACUAGGAUGACUACAAUUCAAAAGGCUGACCUAUCCAGGUGAAGAUGAGAGUGUGCAGCAUUGGAAAUUCUUACACAUUGCUGGAGAUUUAGAAGCUAAAGAAAGAGGACAAAUGAUUUGGAAGCAAAGAUAAGAAGGAAGAAGGGAAGCAUACAUCACAAUGAAACAUCUAUUCAAGGAGAGCUCCUAUAACUCCGGCUCAUAACAUAUAGAAACGUGAUAUACUUAAGAACAGGACAAGAGAGGACAGUAGGAGCGAAGCUGCAUUGGAAUAAAGAAAUGACAGCAGAUGUUAACUUGAACCCCCAGGAAUACAUUAAGAGAACCUGAAACUAUAGUCCACGCUUUUGGACUUACAGAUAGUGUAUUGGACUUUUCUGGCCUCACAGAGUGGUGAGUUUUCAGUCCUCAUGGAACUGGCAUCCAUUAGGACAAAUUUUGCUAUGGGUCAGUCACCAAUAAAACCAGAUGAGCGUCUUCUUCCAUUUAAAUUUUUGUCCUCAGAGCCCAGGCUUCAUCCAUAGAACAUUUUUUUUUUCUAAUGUUCUUCCUGCUGGAUAGUGAAGAUUACUGGGUCUACAUUUGGAGAGGGUCAGCUUUCAGGUUGGAGGCACCAGACAUGAGGUGCACAGGCAUUACCUUCUUACAGACUGUCACCAGUCUCAUGAAGUCAUCUUGUUACUGCAGCUUGGACCCUGAUUUCUUGGCUCGUGUGUAAAUAGAAAUUAACACUGGACCAAACAGAAAUUUUUAUCAGGCAACAUUUAAUAGGCUUGCAGCCUGAGCAAGUCAAGGGAGCAACAUACAGGAAAGGGAUCCCCGCUGCUAGCUCUCCAAAGGGCUUAGCUCUUGUCAUUUAAGGAAGUUGAGGAGAAAAAUAACUGAUAUGUAGGCAUGUAGAGGUGGGGAGUUUUUAGCACCAAAGAUGACUCGGUCCUUCAGAAGUCACUCUGAGGAACAUUUGUCUUGAAUAAAACUUCAUUUUAGAGGCACCUUCAAAAAGAAAGAGUAUAAAAUUUCUCUGGCCCAGUGGGUAGCACUUUUGGUUGAUAUGCAGAAGUCUCCAAAUGCAAUUCUGAAUAAAAAACUGCUUCACUAACAAAUUCAUUGGUCAAAGCCAAUGAGCAAUUUGAAAAAAUUAAGUAGUAACAAAUGACUAAUUUUAUUAGUAAAUCCUGCUCUUCUUUGCCUACAUCUACCUCCCCAUAUUCAGCUUUCUCUAUUCCCCCUUAUAUUUCUGAUUUCCCUGCUUCAACACCUCAUACUCCUUCCUCCUCUUACUCAGACCUCUAGCUUUUCCCAACUCUCCUGAA